GGGUGCGAUUAUAUCAGCACUAGUGCACUGAAUCCCAUCAGAACUCCGCAGUUACGCGUGCUUGGGCGAGUGUAGUACUAGGAUGGGUGACCUCUUGGGUAGUCCUCGUGUUGCACCCA
Ribosomal RNA from Eutrema salsugineum, 119 nucleotides. The record is from Rfam. Lineage: Eukaryota; Viridiplantae; Streptophyta; Magnoliopsida; Brassicales; Brassicaceae.